AAAGUCGUAACAAGGUUUCCGUAGGUGAACCUGCGGAAGGAUCAUUACCAGGAGGCGGCCUGGCCUUGCGCCAGCGCCCGUUCUCAAACCCAAUGUUUAUUCUCCACGUUGCUUUGGCGGGACGUCGGGCCUCGUGCCCGCCAUCGGUUUCGGCCGGUGAGCGCCCGUCCGAGGACCAACAAAUCGUCGUCACCUGCGGUCGGAGCACAAAUACGAAUAAAGUAAAACUUUCAACAACGGAUCUCUUGGUUCCG
RNAcentral lists this unclassified non-coding RNA (254 nucleotides) under Ascomycota sp. Its description in RNAcentral is "partial contains small subunit ribosomal RNA, internal transcribed spacer 1, and 5.8S ribosomal RNA". The stretch from base 1 to 47 matches the Rfam family "Eukaryotic small subunit ribosomal RNA", at positions 1785 to 1831 of the family's 1831-position model. The record is from RNAcentral. Lineage: Eukaryota; Fungi; Ascomycota.